Molecule: transfer RNA, 75 nt
Filed under: Candidatus Nomurabacteria bacterium RIFCSPLOWO2_01_FULL_40_18
Lineage: Bacteria; Candidatus Nomuraibacteriota
Description: tRNA-Glu
Rfam family: tRNA
About the family: Transfer RNA (tRNA) molecules are approximately 80 nucleotides in length.
Source: RNAcentral
GGCUCUAUCGUCUAACGGUUAGGACAAGGCCUUCUCAAGGCUUAAAUCCGGGUUCGAUUCCCGGUAGAGUCACAA